This 165-nucleotide ribosomal RNA is filed under the name uncultured bacterium. RNAcentral describes it as "partial 16S ribosomal RNA". It matches the Rfam family "Bacterial small subunit ribosomal RNA", at positions 509 to 674 of the family's 1533-position model. The record is from RNAcentral.
CAGCAGCCGCGGUAAACGUAGGAUCCGAGCGUUAUCCGAAUUUACUGGGCGUAAAGCGCGUGCAGGCGGUUUGGUAAGUUGGAUGUGAAAGCUCCCGGCUCAACUGGGAGAGGUCGUUCAAAACUGCCAGACUAGAGGGUGGUAGAGGAAGGUGGAAUUCCCGGU